Molecule: long non-coding RNA, 245 nt
Filed under: Medicago truncatula (barrel medic)
Lineage: Eukaryota; Viridiplantae; Streptophyta; Magnoliopsida; Fabales; Fabaceae
Description: lncRNA gene26564
Source: RNAcentral
CUCUGCCCCUGCAGGGAUGGAGCAAAAGAAGUUUUGAGAAUUCAAGAGAAGGUCGCGGCGAGACAAGCCAAUUUUCAUUAACGAUAGAUGUCAAGUGGAAGUGCAGUAAUGCAUGCAGCUGAUGCAUCCUAACAGACUGGUAGACUUGAACCUUUUUCUUACAUGACCUGAUCAAUUCAAUCAGGCAAUCACCAUCUAUUUUGAUUGUUCAACUCUUUGACAACAUAAAAAACCAAAACAUUUGU